AGUGUAACCUCUAAACUAGUGUAGUGUGUAAACUGGCGCAAAUGUUCAAGAAAUCGAAAAUAAAUUUUCGUCAAAGAGUCGCGACAAGUGAUUCUGACGCGGAAAAGAAUCACAUUGGAUUCUACCGGAGCCGAAAGAGCAAAAGAAACACAAAAUACCCAAAUCUUCCUUCGUGCUGACUGCUGAUUUUCGUCCACGAAGAAGGCGUCCAAAGGUUCACCUGACCACCACAACUCUUUUCGGAGUGUCUGAAGUUUGUGUACGUGCUGGGAAGCCACUUACAAUGAAACUGGGCAUUACCGGUUCUCCAACUCCCAUUGUCAUCUGGGCUAAAGAAGGAAAACCCAUUCCAAGGGCUCGCACCUCAUUACUAUACUACACUAGAGCUCCCAAAAGCAGAUCAUUGUGACACUGGAAACUACCUUGUGACUGUUGAAAACGAACAUGGCAGAGAUUCUGCAGAUAUUCCGGUCUUAGUUAUUGACAAGCCUGGACCCCCGGACGGUCCUUUGGAGGUCAGUGAUGCGUUUGCGGACUCCUGCCAAUUGGCUUGGAAACCACCUCAGGACAAAGGAAACUAACCAAUAAUCGUUGAGUCUUAUUAAUUACAAUUUUUAUUCUUUGAUUAAGGCUUGUUUACCAUGAAUACAACUAUUGAAAAUGAAAUUGUUGUUCUUGGGCAUAUUUUGUUUAGAAAUCAUUUUCAAUGAUUUAAACUGAACUUAUUUAAUGACAGAAAAUAUAUUUGUGUUAGUGUUUGACACAACAAUAUAUCUCUUAAGUUACCUAUUUCAUUCAAUUGAAAACAAUAUUCAAGUUUUAGAUGUUGCCACGUAAACCGAUUAUGGAAUGUACUCUUGAUUUAGGUUACACAGUAGAAAAAUUCCAGGAGGGCUUGUACUUCUGGGAAAAGGUGCCUGGCAUGCCGAUGUGCAAGUCCAUAAUAGUCACUGGACUGAAGACUGGAGUCAAGUUCAAGUUCAGGGUCAUGGCUGAGAACAUAUACGGAAUAGGAGAGCCCUUAGAGACAGAUUUCCCAGUGUUAGUCAAGAAUAGAUUUGAGUCCCCAAAGGUUCACCUGACCAACACAUCUCUUUCUUGAGCGUCUGAAGUUUGUGUAUGUGCUGGGGAGCCACUUACGAUGAAACUGGGCAUUACCGGUUCUCCUACUCCCACUGUCAUCUGGACCAAAAAAGGAAAACCCAUCCCAAGGGCGCGCACCUCCAACACUAAUGACUGUACUACACUAGAGCUCCUAAAAGCACAUCAUGGGGACACUGGAAACUACCUUGUGAUUGUUGAAAACGAUCAUGGCAGAGAUUUUGCAGAUAUUCCGUUCAUCAUUAUUGACAAGUGUGGACCCCCCGAAGGUCCUCUGGAGGUCAGUGAUGUGUUUGCGGACUCCUGCUGAUUGGCAUGGAAACCACCUCAGGACAAAAGAAACUUACCAAUUAUCGGUUACACAGUAGAGAAAUGCCAGGAGGGCUCAGACUUCUGGGAAAAGGUGCCUGGCAUACCGAUGUGCAAGUCCAGAAUAGUC
Dreissena polymorpha is the source of this 1540-nucleotide long non-coding RNA. RefSeq lists it as uncharacterized. NCBI's taxonomy places the organism in Eukaryota, Metazoa, Mollusca, Bivalvia, Myida, Dreissenidae. The transcript is spliced from 8 exons. The record is from RefSeq and is a predicted model, not a curated record.